Molecule: ribosomal RNA, 739 nt
Filed under: uncultured bacterium
Lineage: Bacteria
Description: bacterial SSU rRNA
Rfam family: Bacterial small subunit ribosomal RNA
Source: RNAcentral
AGAGUUUGAUCAUGGCUCAGAACGAACGCUGGCGGCAGGCCUAACACAUGCAAGUCGAACGCGACUUCGGUCGAGUGGCGCACGGGUGAGUAACGCGUGGGAACGUGCCCUAUGGUACGGAAUAACACCGGGAAACUGGUGCUAAUACCGUAUAAGCCCCGAGGGGGAAAGAUUUAUCGCCAUAGGAGCGGCCCGCGUAGGAUUAGCUAGUUGGUGAGGUAAAAGCUCACCAAGGCGACGAUCCUUAGCUGGUCUGAGAGGAUGAUCAGCCACACUGGGACUGAGACACGGCCCAGACUCCUACGGGAGGCAGCAGUGGGGAAUAUUGGACAAUGGGGGAAACCCUGAUCCAGCCAUGCCGCGUGAGUGAUGAAGGCCUUCGGGUUGUAAAGCUCUUUCGCACGCGACGAUGAUGACGGUAGCGUGAGAAGAAGCCCCGGCUAACUUCGUGCCAGCAGCCGCGGUAAUACGAAGGGGGCAAGCGUUGUUCGGAAUUACUGGGCGUAAAGGGCGCGUAGGCGGUGCGCUAAGUCAGAUGUGAAAGCCCUGGGCUUAACCCGGGAAUUGCAUUUGAUACUGGCGCGCUUGAAUCCGGGAGAGGUUGGUGGAAUUCCCAGUGUAGAGGUGAAAUUCGUAGAGAUUGGGAAGAACACCGGUGGCGAAGGCGGCCNCUGGACCGGUAUUGACGCUGAGGCGCGAAAGCGUGGGGAGCAAACAGGAUUAGAUACCCUAGUAGUCC